CCUUCCCUUUUUCUCAAAUAUUGGAAUGAUGUGAUAUGAGAUUUGGUUCAAUGAGAACAGCUUAGUAAAACUUACAGAUUAUCUAUGCAUUCUGAGGUGUGUUCUUCACCAUUUAUUCAAAGUAUACUCAUGUUUCCAAUGUCCCAUGAUUCCUAUCAACUAAAGUUUAAUGCUAAUCAUCGUUUCGUACAUUUUUGAUAUCUGGGAUUUUGUUCCUACACAUCUGUGAAUCAAAUGUGGGUUUUGUUCCUGAAUCUGUGGGAACAUAGGACGGACUGUUGUUUGAGAUUUGAGAACCACAGAUUCUAGAACAUCGCCCUACCGCCAGCAUCGACAGACGAUGACGACGGUGUGGCGUUUAGCAUCAACGAUCAGCGAACAACAACAAUGGGGAAAGGUGAGAGAGGAGGGAUGAUGAAACCAUGUCACGAUUUCAGUAGGCCAACUCCGGGACUAAGUGGUCAGUGACCAUUUGAAAUUCAAGGGACUAAAAAUGUCGGUGUUGAAACUUCAUGGACGAAAAAGACAUAAAUUCCUUCGAUCAAGAGAUCAUCGUAGGUGGGCUUCAUAUCGAAUACGGGCAUGAAGGAAGGCCACCGUCAAUCCUAUCACAUAUACUUUUGGGCCACAGGUUCGAGCCCACAAUUCGACGAACCUGAUAUCUUCAAACAAUGGAGAUCGACGACGAGAUUAAGAAAAUAUACAGCAGCACUGUACUCUGCAACAGACAGAAGAGAGGAGAAAACGUAGAUGAGCGCGUGAAUGUAAAUCCCAAAGAAGGAGAUGAAACGAAACUGGAAGGAGAUGAAACGAAACUGGAAGGAGAUGCGAAUUCUGGGGACGAACUGAACUGUGAGAUUAGGAAACGCAAUGGAGACCGUUAGAUAAGAAAGAGAGAGAGAGAUGCGUCCGAUCGAAUCAAGAGCAGGCGGUGGAAAAGGACGAAAGAAGCAGUCAGUCUGAAUGAGGGAAGGGGGCCCUUCCUUCGGUUCCUUGAAAACCGACGCUACGUUACGCCACAAACAGAUAGAUAGCUGCUCGCCAUUGGCGCUAUGUAGAUGCGGAUUCUUGGGGACUGAGCCGGCUGAUGCAUCUUCUGCAUCCUCCUCCAGAAUAAGUGCAGACAAAAUGGGAACUCAAAAGGUCAGAACUUUACUUGGCAUCUCUAUUUACUCUGCCUUUCUUCUUCUUUAUGAUUCCUAAUGGGCAUUGCAUUGCAUGAGUCUGUACUGUCUGCCAAUUUUUGCCUCUUUUCCCCAAACUACCCUUCUCUGUUUUUUUUUCGCUGUGGCUUGUGGGAUCUCUUUCUGCACUUGUGUCAGUAUGAGUGGUGCAUUUUCUGGGGUCAGUUUGGACAAUUUGGAUGCGGUAAUUGGCUUGCCUUCUCCUUUUUUUUUUUUACUUUUUCUUAAAUCCAAGGCUGGGGGAGCUUCUGAAUUUGCAACACCAACACUUUGUCUUUCACUUUUUUAUUGCUUUGAUAAAAUAUGAUGUGUUCAUCUAUAAGGUUCCUUUUCUUUUUGUAA
Molecule: long non-coding RNA, 1526 nt
Organism: Cucurbita moschata (crookneck pumpkin)
Lineage: Eukaryota; Viridiplantae; Streptophyta; Magnoliopsida; Cucurbitales; Cucurbitaceae
Exons: 2
Source: RefSeq, a predicted model, not a curated record